CAGGGAAUCUUCCGCAAUGGACGCAAGUCUGACGGAGCAACGCCGCGUGAGUGAAGAAGGAUUUCGGUUCGUAAAACUCUGUUGUUAGAGAAGAACAGCGCAUAGAGUAACUGUUAUGCGUGUGACGGUAUCUAACCAGAAAGCCACGGCUAACUACGUGCCAGCAGCCGCGGUAAUACGUAGGUGGCAAGCGUUGUCCGGAUUUAUUGGGCGUAAAGCGAGCGCAGGCGGUCAAUUAAGUCUGAUGGGAAAGCCCCCGGCUCAACCGGGGAGGGUCAUUGGAAACUGGUUGACUUGAGUGCAGAAGAGGAGAGUGGAAUUCCAUGUGUAGCGGUGAAAGGCGUAGAUAUAUGGAGGAACACCAGUGGCGAAGGCGACUCUCUGGUCUGUAACUGACGCUGAGGCUCGAAAGCGUGGGUAGCAAACAGG
RNAcentral lists this ribosomal RNA (429 nucleotides) under Bacteroidota bacterium. Its description in RNAcentral is "Bacteroidetes bacterium partial 16S ribosomal RNA". It matches the Rfam family "Bacterial small subunit ribosomal RNA", at positions 355 to 776 of the family's 1533-position model. The record is from RNAcentral. Lineage: Bacteria; Pseudomonadati; Bacteroidota.